ACCAAAACAAACAUGAAGGCAAGAGUCAGAACAAAGCAAAACAAAAUUGAAAGCACAAUGAAGCAAAACCCACAGCAUGAAAUAAGCAAUUUGAGCUGGCAAAAAAAGGUAAAAGGCACAAGAAAACCUUGAAGAUCGAAGAAUAUAAAGCCCACAUUAAGAAAGAAGAGAACUAAAAUUAUUGAAGCAGAAAAGAAAGAUCGAAGAAAGUAAGAGCAAAUAAAAAGUUGUAAUCAGGUCAGAACACUCACCCUCUCUCUAUAUCGAUUCUUGCACUUUCCUCUAAUUUUUUGUAAAGCCCUAAUUGUCAAUUUGUUUCGGAUUUUUCUGUUCUUGACUUGAUUUUAAUUUAGAUAGGCUUGCAUGCAUGAAUCAUUUGUUUAUUUACUUUUUGACGGGCAUGCACACAUGAAUCGAUGAUUUACAAAUAUAACUAAGAAAAUUCCACUGGGUGUUUAUAAAAUAUGAUUUAGAAGAUAUGUUGUUUGUUUAUUAGUUUUGAUUUUAGGAAUUGAUGAUUUAAAGUUUUUAAAAAUUAUUUAUUUUAUUUUUUAUUUCACUUAAGCUAAACGGUAGCGUUUAUUGUUUCUAAUAAUACAACAUGGACUUUUCAUUUCCCUCGCUACCGUUUUUGUUUCCCUCCAGCUUCCAAAAACCUAGACACUUAACCAAAACAAACAUGAAGGCAAGAGUCAGAACAAAGCAAAACAAAAUUGAAAGCACAAUGAAGCAAAACCCACAGCAUGAAAUAAGCAAUUUGAGCUGGCAAAAAAAGGUAAAAGGCACAAGAAAACCUUGAAGAUCGAAGAAUAUAAAGCCCACAUUAAGAAAGAAGAGAACUAAAAUUAUUGAAGCAGAAAAGAAAGAUCGAAGAAAGUAAGAGCAAAUAAAAAGUUGUAAUCAGGUCAGAACACUCACCCUCUCUCUAUAUCGAUUCUUGCACUUUCCUCUAAUUUUUUGUAAAGCCCUAAUUGUCAAUUUGUUUCGGAUUUUUCUGUUCUUGACUUGAUUUUAAUUUAGAUAGGCUUGCAUGCAUGAAUCAUUUGUUUAUUUACUUUUUGACGGGCAUGCACACAUGAAUCGAUGAUUUACAAAUAUAACUAAGAAAAUUCCACUGGGUGUUUAUAAAAUAUGAUU
Molecule: long non-coding RNA, 1137 nt
Filed under: Citrus sinensis (sweet orange)
Lineage: Eukaryota; Viridiplantae; Streptophyta; Magnoliopsida; Sapindales; Rutaceae
Description: long non-coding RNA (CSIN_LNC004789)
Source: RNAcentral